GGAAUGGGGAGCUGUUGAUCAAAGGGUACAAAGUUUCACAUAAAGAGGAAGAAUAGAUUUUUGAGAUCUAUUGCACAGCAGGGUGACUAUAGCCAAUAAUAAUGUAUUUAUGUCUCAAAAUAACUAAGAACAAAUUUGAAAUAUCUCAUCAUAAAAAAUAAUGGGUAAUCAAGGGGAUGAAUAUGUUAAUUAGUUUGGUUUAAUCAUUCCACAUUGUAUUCAUGUAGCAAAACAUCACAUUGUAUCCCAUAAAUGUAUAUAAUUGCAAUUUGUCCAUCAAAAAUAAUAUUAAUAAUUUAAAAUUUUUAUUUCUUUGUCUUGACUUUAUCCUUCUAAGUAGGAAUUGUACGUAUGUCAUAGCUAAUAUUAUUUUUUCUUAUUCUUAAAAAUAUGUCUGCAAUUUCUCUGUUAAGUAUGAUGUUUGUUAUAAAGUUUUGGUAAUUAGCCUUUAACAAUUUCUUUUUUCAUAAUUAGGCUUUUCAUUUUUGUCCACUUUUUCUUGGGCCAAUUCUGGUAAUUUAUAUUGACAAUUUAUUAUUAUAUGUAUAAUCAUGUAACAUGUGUUAUAUAUGACAACUUAGAACUUCAUAUAAAACCAGUUAUGUAACUUGUUUCAAAUUCAUUGUGUACUUUUGUGGAUAUACAUAUAUACUGCUAUAUAUCCUGGUUGCCUGUUUCUUUUAGGACACCUCUGCUAGUGGUGUACAGAACUUUCACUCUUUUGUGUUAGAGAAUUAUGCGCUUAUUAAUACAUUUUGUAUUUUUUUGUUUUUAUUUUAUUCUUAUUUCGAUAGCUUUUGGGGUACAAGUGGUUUUUGGUUACAUGGAUUAAAUACAUAGUGGUGAAUUCUGAAAUUUUAGUGCACUCCUCACCUGAGUUGUGUACAUUGUACCCAAUAUGUAGUUUUUUGUCCCUCACCCCUCUUCCACCCUCUCCCUCUUCCACCCUCCCCAUUCUGAGUCUCCAAAGUCCAUUAUAUCACUCUAUUUGCCUUUGUGUACUUAUAGCUUUGCUUCCACUUAUAAGUGAGAACAUACAGUGUUUGGUUUUUCAUUCCUGAGUUACUUCACCUAGAAUAAUGGCCUCCACCUCCAUCCAAGUUGCUGCAGAAGACAUUAUUUCAUUCCUUUUACGGCUGAGUAGUAUUCCAUGGUGUGUAUAUACCACAUUUUCUUUAUCCACUCAUUGGUUGAUGGACACUUAGAUUGGUUCUAUAUCUUUGCAAUUGUGAAUUGGGUUGUGAUAGACAUAUUUGUUCAUGUGUCUUUUUCAUAUCAUGAUUUCUUUUCCUUUGGGUAGAUACCCAGUAGUGGGAUUUCUGGAUCAAAUGGUUAGAUCUACUUUUAGUUUUUUAAGGAAUUUCCAUACUGUUUUCCAUAGAUGUUGCGCUAAUUUACAUUCCCACCAGCAGUGUAUAAACAUUCUGCUUUCACCAGAUCCAGGUCAACAUCUAUUGUUUUCUGACUUUUUAAUUAUGGCCAUUCUUGCAAGGACUAAGGUGGUAUCUUUUCCUUUGGGUAGAUGCCCCGUAGUACAAUUGCCAGAUUGAAGGAUAGAUCUACUUUUAGUUUUUUAAGAAAUCUCCAUACUGUUUUCCAUAGAGGUUGUAAUUCUUCUUUUCUGAUUUGGAUGCCCUUUAUUUAUUUCUCUGGCCUGAUGGCUCUGGCCAGGACUUCCAGUCCUAUGUUGAAUAGAAGGGGUGAAAGUGGGCAUCCUAGGCUUGUUUCAGUUCUCAGGGGAAACGCUUUCAACUUUUCCCCAUUUAGUAUGAUGUUGCCUGUGGGUUUGUCAUAUAUGGCUUUUAUUAACUUGAGGUAAUUACCUUCUACACCUAGUUUGUUGAGGUUUUUAUCAUAAAGCAAUGCUAAAUUUUAUCGAAUGCUUUUUCUACAUCUAUUGAGAUGAUCACAUGGUUUUGUUUUUAAUUCUGGUUAUGUAGUGUAUCACACUUAUUGAUUUGCAUACGUUAGACCAUCCCUGCCUCCCUGGGGUGAAACCCGCUUGAUCAUGGUGUAUUAUCUUUUUGAUGUGCUGCUGUAUUUGGUUAGCAAAUACUUUGUUGAGGAUUUUUGCAUCUAUGUUCAUUGGGGAUAUUGGUCUGUAGUUUUCUUUUUUUGUUAUGUCCUUUCCUGGUUUGGGGAUUAGGGUGAUACUGGCUUCAUUCUCUUAUUUCUAUGUGACUGGUAUGCAGAGAUGAGGGUUUCACCAUUUGUACGAAUUUGCAGUUUUAAUGUGAAAUAUGUUUUUUAGCUAUUUGAUAUUUUUCUUUCUUAAUAAAUUGUAUGAGUACACACACACCUAUUUUGAUGCUGUGUGCAUUUAAAACCUCAUGUACUUUGUCACUUUAGCUUUAUAUUUCAGACUCACUUACUAUAUUGUCUUGACUUACUUCUGCCCACCACAUUGCUUACUGUGUAGGCUCGAGAGGUGAAUGCCAGGGAUGAGGUAAAAUUUUGGUCAUAUAUGUGACUGAUUUUUUACGAAGAUGAAAUUAAAAUUAUUUCUUUAGGGCCAUGUAAUAUCACCCAAAUCAUGUUGGUCAAAGAGUACAAACUUUCACUUACAAGAUGAGUAAGUUCUUGGAAUCUAAUAUGCAGCGUGAUGACAAUAGUUAAUAAUACUGUACAGAUGUUCCUUGACUUGCAAUGGAGUUACAUCCCAACAGACUCAACGUAAGCUGAAAAUAUUGUAACUCAGGGGUGUCCCAUCUUUUGGCUUCCCUGAGCCAUGCUGGAAGGAUUGUCUUGGGUCACACAUAAAAUACACUAGCACUAACGAAAGCUGAUGAGCUAAAAAAAAAAAUCACAAAAAAAUCUAAUAAUGUUUUAAGAAGAUUCACAAAUUUGUGUUGGGCCUCAUUCAAAGUCAUACUGGGCCGCAUGUUGCCCGUGGGCCAUGGUUUUCACAAGCUUGUUGUAACUUAAAAAUGUAUUUAAUACACCUAGGCUACAGAAUAUCAUAGCUUAGCCUAGCCUACUUUAAAUACGCCCAGAACACUUAUAUUAGUGUACUUUGGCAAAAUCACCUAACACAAAGUCUAUUUGAUAAUAAAGUGCUGAAUAUCUCAUGUAAUUUUUGAAUACUAUACCGAAAGUGAAAAAUGGAAUGGUUAUAUGAGUACUUAAAAUGCAGUUUCUACUGACUGACUUUUACACCAUCUUAAAAUUGAAAAAUUUUAAGUAGAGAACUGUCUGUAUUGCAUCCUUGAAAUCUGCUAAAAGAGCAGGUCUUAAAAGUUCUCACUACACGCCCAGGUAACUAUGUGAAGUGAUGGAGGUGUUGACUAACUUGAUAUCACUGCCCAAUAUUUACACAUAUCAAAGCUUUGUAACUCAAUUGCAGAUUCAGUCACUCGAUGCUUGCCGAGUCCAGUUUGCAAGAGUGAGGUGUGUUACAAAGAAAGUGACUUUUUAAUUGAAAGCUUAGCUUAUGGAAAGAAGUCCAGGCUCUUGCCUUUAAAGGCACUGCUUCAAUUUUGGGGCAGAAAGCCAGAGCUUUUAAAGGGAAACUUGGCGUGAAUGACAGGCAGGGAAGGAGCAGUUGGGGGUCUAGGUGACUUGCUUUGUUGCCUUAUCUACGCAGUGGUUGAGCUAGUGCUAGAUUGUAAGGUGGCUGUGGUCUGGAGAUACUCUCCAGAUGGGAGAGAGUUUCCUGUGGGCAAACUUUAGGUUGUAAAUUGACUCUUGUCUCUAGAGGCAAUCUUCUGGUGGGAGAGAUUUCGGCUCUGGGGCUUCUAGGUAUGCACACACUUAGAUGAACUUGUCCUGUAGGGAGUGUCUGUUGAAGGGAAGGUAGAGGUUCUAAUUGCAUUUCUAAAGAGUUAAGUAGGAAGUGGGGAACAGGGGCAGAGGAGGAAAGAGAAAAAAAGAAAAAUAAUAAUUUAAAAAAUAACUCAUUCUCUUUCUCUUAGGGAAAUGGCAGUACUGGAUUACAGCAUCCCAUUGUACACAAAACUUGUCUAACCCACUGCCCAUGAGCUGCAUGAAGCCCAGGAAGGCUUUGAAUGUGGCUGAACACAUUCAAAGAAAGUUUGUAAACUUUCUUUAAACAUUAUGAGAUUAUUUUGCAGUUUUUGUUUUAAGCUCAUCAGCUGUCAUUAGUGUUAGUGUAUUUUAUGUGUGGUCCAAAACAAUUCUUCCUAUGUUGCCCAGGGAAGCCAGAAGAUUGGACACCCUUGUUGUACACCUUAAAUACAGUUUUGUGUUUCAAUUUUCCCUCAGUUAAGCUGUGAAAAAAUGGCCAUACCCAAAAAUGACACAUAAAAUAGCUGUGUCAAAUUUCUAUUUUAAUCUUGAAUAUCUUUCUUUUACAAUAAAUAAACUUCUCUCACAUGAUUUUUUAAUGUUUCAGAGUGUUUCAUUUUAUGGAUAUUUCAGAACUCAAUAAGUUCCUAUUUAUUUAUUUAUUUAUUUAUUUAUUUGGAUACUGUGGUAGCAUCUAAUUUUUGCUAAAUCUUGGUGCACAUUCUUAAAUUUCAAAGCUGGACUUACUGAGUCUAGUGGGUCUUAAGACAUAUUGUUAUCUGCCUCUCAGGAAGGUUUUGACUCACUUCAAAUGAAGUCAAAGAUCUUCUCCAUGUAUUUAACAUUCAAAUAUUUUGUAUGUGUGAUUGUUCUCUUUGCUUAUUUUUUGAGUUUUCACUGAGUUAGAACAAUUCCUUGGUUUACUAUAAAAAGAGAAAAAUUUCAUUAUGAGCCAAAUGGAUUUUGAGAAAUAUAUUCUGAGUUUUCUCUUUAACAGAGGUUUUUGUUUUGUUUUUGCCUAGAGCAUAGGGUUAACUGGACUAAUUUACACUUUUCCAUUAGCUUUAUCUUAUUCAGGAUAAUAUGAGCCAGUUUUCUUAACCCUAAUAGGGCAUAUUUCUGUUUUUUCUUAACUCGUUCUUUUUCUAGUGUAUUGCUAAGUUUUCUCAUUUAGUUCUUGCCUUAAAAAUGACGUUGUCUAACAUUAUAAUUGUAAAAUACUGGAAAAAGUUUUUGUCAUUCUUGCUGCAGGCAGUCAACAACUCAAGGUGACCCCUGGGUUAGCUGGAAAUACAUCUUGAUUGGUACAGACUCCGGUUUCUAAGUGAAUAAGCAGAGAACACACUGAGUGCCUGACGAUGUGACGUGCUAUCAUGUCACAUGAAACUAUCAGAACUUGCCAGGGUUCCAGAUCCCGCACUAGAAAUUCCUCCCAGAUGAGGGCUUUUUUUUUUUUUCCUCCUAUGAGAAAUAAACCAGAAGAAAGGAGAAGAUGGACCUUUGUAAUUUAAUUUCAUGAUUUUAAGGACCAAAUCUCAGCUUUAUUUCUCUAGAAUAGGAAAUACAGAUAUCGUUGUCAUCUUAUGUUUUUUCUCACUUGAUCUGAUCUAUGAUCUGUUGAAACUUGACCAUCUGUUCUUGCAAGUGAGGUUUUGUUGCUACAUUUCUGAACUUCAAAAUUAGAAAAAUAAUAUCCUGAAGUUUCUAAUACUUACAGUUGAGCAGACUUUAUAUUCUGUUUACACUUACCAUUUUACAUAAAUCUUUAUGCCUUUUAUUUAGAAGACAAGAUAAAAAUUAAAAGAGAAAAAAUAUCCCACAUAUACAUAAUACCUCUCUAUGGACUAUUCUUUUGUGGGAUAAGGUAGGUGGGAGAACGGGAGAGUAGCAGACCCAUUAGAAUAGAAAACGUGUCAGUAACUAUUAUUUUUAAAUUGGGGCCACUUGGACACCAAGAUAUUAUUGCCUUUUUAAGAGAUGUGUGUUCUAGAGAACUGAUUUCCUUAAAUAACUCAUUUCUGUUUCCAAGUCUCUACUCACAAAUGUACUAAUGUCCUAAAGGGCAUGAAGGAGAUAUAUAUAUAUAUACAUGUAGAACAGUGAUACAGUAAAUACAAACAGUAAUAUAGUAAAUCACUGUUCUUCAAAAUAUAUAUAAACAGAGAUAUAGUAAAUCACUGUUCUUUUAUAAACUGGGUCCCUAUUCUAUUUUUUAUCCCUAUAAUAAUAUAUUUUAUAAUUUCUGUUUAGAAUAUUGGCAGAUAAUAGAACUUGAUUGCCUGAUUUUCAAUUUAAACACCUAUCAAUCAAAUACGUAAGUACUUGUACAGUGUGGAGAAAAGUUAACACUUUAUAUUAUCUACGUAUCUCUGAAAGACAAGAAAGUUUCUGUACAUUUACAGACUACAAAUACAGAAGUUAAAACAAAUGCCUUCUAGCUGGCAUAAUCUUAGGAAAAAAGCAGACUAAAGUAUUAUAAAUUGGUAGCAGAAGAUGUGUAAAGUAAAGACAUGAUCACCUAGAUAAUAUAAAUCAAUUUUCUAUUCUUGUCCUGAAGCCUAGACCCCACACGGCAGCCUGAUGUAAUUCCAUUACCAUGCUUAAUUACUUGGCACUUGUAUAGCCUUUUUAUUUUUGUGUUACUGUUAUUCCUGGUAAAUCAUUCAGAAGAAAUAAAUUAGCUUGCCACUCAAAAUUAACUAGUAUGGUGCAUUGCUGCCCCACCCCCCAAAAGAUGAGUUGACCACUACUGGGCAUUAAUCUAGCCAUUUUUUUGAUAACAGAAUAUCUCUUUGCACAUAGUUAUGAGUUAUAAACAUUCCAAAUGUAAUUAUCUCAGUCCUUUACAACGUGAAAGUCUAAUUAAAGAAAGUUUAAGACACUAUAAAUCUUAAGGAAUUAGGUUUAUAAUGUGGAACCCAGUCAGAGUUUGGGAUUACAUUGGAAAGUGAGUAUAUUGAAAAGGAUUGCAGAAACAUUUCUCUCAGCCAGAAUUUAAUUGCUCAGAAAACUGAAUUUCAGUAAAAUAGAUGAAAAGUGGUAGGCAGAGAGACUCAGACCUAUGACUGCUGAAGAAAGAGCUAAUUCCAUAUCCCUUUUUCUAGAUGCCCUGGAAUACACUUGUGUCAGUGACAAAUGCUGCUUUGCUGUGCUACACCCAGUACAAGGUAGUGAUAAGACAUGACUGGGAAGCAGUUACCAGAGACAAGCAAGGAUAGGGCUUUGACUGCAUCCUCUGCUGGUGGCUUCUGUAGUUAUGCAUAAAAUUUACUCUGACCUGUUUACUUUUAUAGUCUGUGUUUACUUUGUUUCUUUUAAUAUUAUGCAUGUUUAGGCUAUGCUUUUUCUUUAAAUAUGUGAGCAAAUCUAUUGGUGUAAUGUACUCAUUACCCUAAAACCUAUAUUAUAAUGGACCUGAAGACAUUAAGGCAGAAGAUCAGAAGAAAAAGAAAAUGCAUACAUUUUUAUCUUUAAAACAAUUCACUUUUAAGAUUAUUUUCCUGAAAGGUAUACCUUUGAUGGAGCUGAAUCUAUUUCCUUCAGGCAGAUACAAUAGGAUACAAUAGGAUAGGACUUCUUGGGUAAAAAAGGUGUAGUAAUCUGUGAGACUCACCGGAAGGAGAAAGGCAAUUAUUCAUUAAUUUGGCUGAGGCCAGGGUAGUAAGCAGAUUCAUUAUAAAUUCUGGCAGCAGAGGAAUACUUGAGAACUGCUUAUAAAGUUAGAUCAUCUAUUUUUCCAAGCAAUAUUCUUCAUGUCAUUCCACCUUGCAAAAACUUUGUGGAAAAGAAUAAGCAUAUGAAGAGCAAUGAAUAGACUUUGCAUUAGAUUGGUAAUCUUGCUACUAGUACCUUAAUUUACUUGUAUUACUGAUAUUUUAAGAUAGGAUUUUUAUAGAUGUUUAUAUAUUUUUAAAAAGCCUAUUUUUUUCUUUACCUUUUUUCUCAAUUUUUUUUAACCUCGAAAACUUUUUCCUCCCUGAGAGAAAUACAUGGGCUAUCUUCAGCAUGGAACACAAACUCUGCCUUCUUUUCUCAAGUCCGGUGAUUCAAGUUUGACACACCACACCCCGGUGGAUGUGCCUUGUCAUGACGCAUCUUCUCAGCAGCACUAGAAGAUACAUCCAAAGUCCUGUGAGCAAGGUCUGUGGUAUCUGUUUAUUAUGGCAGCCCAGUAAGACUAAGACAGGCCAUCACAAGACGUGAACGUUUUGGACCUUCUGUUGGGCCCUAGUAAACAGAAAUCAGGAAGAUCUGGCAAGAGUUAGCGUGCAGUUCUACAUUGUGACAAUCCAUGAGAGAUAAGGACUGGCUGUCUCUUGGGACAAAUAGGCUUUCUUGAGUCUGGUAAGUGCUCCACCUGAUGCUUGCUUCCAUUUCUUAGAUUAGGUUCUACUGUGGUAAGGCCUCAAAAUCUCAGUGUCUUGCAGCAACACUGGUUCAUUUCCUGCUCACAUUACAUUUGGUCUAUGACGGUGACAAGUUCCAGGAUCCAGACUGAAGGAGCCACCCCCAUUUGGAAUAUGCUGUUCUUGUUGCAAACUGGGGGAAAAAGGCCAAAUAAGGAAUGGCUUUUAAUGCUUCCUCUCAGACAUGGUAUGUGUUAUUUCUUUUUCUCACGUUCUAUUAGCCAAAGUAAAUCAGUGGCCAAGCUGACCUCAA
Long non-coding RNA from Pan troglodytes (chimpanzee), 8403 nucleotides. RefSeq lists it as uncharacterized. The transcript has 3 exons. The record is from RefSeq and is a predicted model, not a curated record. NCBI's taxonomy places the organism in Eukaryota, Metazoa, Chordata, Mammalia, Primates, Hominidae.